This 730-nucleotide long non-coding RNA is filed under the name Pongo abelii (Sumatran orangutan). RNAcentral's name for it is "lincRNA". The record is from RNAcentral. Lineage: Eukaryota; Metazoa; Chordata; Mammalia; Primates; Hominidae.
AGAGACGUAGGGGCUGUGUUGACCAGGCUGGUCUCGAACUCUUGGCCUCAAGCCAUCCUCCCACCUCAGCCUCCCAAAGUGCUGGGAUUACAGGCUUGAGCCACCACAUCCAGCCUACCUAAAAUAUUGAAUGCUGUUAAUAAAUCUCCUGAGGCCAGCAUAAGAAGUUGAUGGGCAAAACUAAUGCAGUAGGAGCUGAAAUUGACCGGGGUGUUCUUAUCCAACAGACAGCAGCAAAACUCUUUGUGUAUCUGCAUUCCUUUCAACAAAUGUGACUUCCUCAAUGGCAUCAUUCAUGAGCGUAACACAGAGCUCAGCAAUAACGUUUCUUCACUAACCCUACCAGGGUUUCAAUUGUGCAAUUUCACCAUUAGCAAAGCUUUUUGCUGAAAUCUGGCUUUUCAAAGGGAGAGUAUCCAGAAACAGAAGAUGCUGAUCUGGGAGACUCUUCCUAAUAGAACUGCUGCUUCAGUUUAACUUGGAAAAGCCCACACCCAGUUCCUAAUGACAAACAUCUGAACACCGGGUCUUCCCACGAGCAAGACCAUGCUAUGCCUCCUGCUCAUUCUGUUCUAUAAGCAACCUACAGAUUGCUCCCUGUGAAGAGGAGCCUGCCAGGGGAGCAGCAUUCCACCAGACCCUGAUUUAGCAAGAUAUUUCCGUAUCAUUCCCCCAACCAGCUGGAAGUCCUCCACUGCUCUUGUGUGAAAAUCUAACUCAUCUCGCUGAA